CAUCGUGCAGAUUACGUGAGCUCACAUGCAGACUUGCUGACUUUGUUUAUUAGAAAUGAGCUUGUGGAAAUGGGCUGCUGAAGUUUUGAAGGUGCAACUGUAAUUUCGUUAGCUUCAUUAAGAUUUAUGCCAUAGGGUUCUCUAUACUCUUACUAAAGCCAACCAGACUUUUAUCAGACUACAUCCGCACUUUUAAUUAAAAUGUAAACACAUAUUGUGAUUUACAGGAGCAUGUGAAUCGGUCAUUGUGCCUGUCCCAUCAACCUGUAUAUCGGAACACAACUGUUAGAAAGGAUUACUGGAGUUAUUCACCUUCAUUCUCAGAGCCACCCAAAUCUAAAGGUGGAAUUUCAUCAUAGGAUGCCGAUUCCUUUGGUGAGGAGUUUGUACAUUUUCUAAAAAGAUUUAAAUUUUCUGAUACUUGGGUUAAGGUUCAGGACACUGUUAAAUUUGCAUCUAGGACUUUUAAACCCGUAUUUUAAUGAAUGUUUCAAAAUGCAGUUUGUGGCUUGGACCAGCAGAUGGAGUUGAACUGGAGUAAACAGACAAGAGUUAAACUCUCAUUGCUGGUAUGGGGAAAAGCAGAGGUUUUUUUCCAACAAAGUGUGCUAGUGCCAAUGUGGCUUGGUGUUGGUUGGGGGCCCCUAGUAGGUAGAAUAAUACAAAUAGGAAAUAGUAGUUAUAUUGACCAGUGGGGAGUAAAAUAUCUGGAAACAUAUCACUUCCCUGAUUAAAAAUGAUAUCCCCUACAAAAUUCCAAGAUUUGGCCACCUAGCUAAAUCUGCAUUCUUGAGGGGUAGGAUCACUCUAUUUAAAAGGAACCUCUCACCCAAGAGCUGCAAAAGCAAAAUGCAGCAGUAUAGCUAAAGAAAGCAUGCAAGGAGAAUAUCAGGAAGGGUGUAGAAUAUAAAUCUGAGUGCUUUAAAUGAGAUGAAUGAAUUAUUUUUCAGGUGAACUUCGUGUGUGUGUGUGUGAGAGAGAGAGAGAGAGAGAAUUUACCUAUCACUGUCACUUACCUAUUCCACUCUGGGGCAGGGAUGUGCAGGAAGAGGGCAAUUUUUAUUGUAAUUCUGCCACCAAACGGGUGAGAGGAUUCUCUAACUCCCCUGGAUACUGCUCUCCUGUCUCCAAGGCAGAUUAUUAUCCUCUGAGCACACACAAACUUUUAAGAGCAACUAUUUUGCUUUUAAAAUUCUCCAGGUUGUACUAAAUAUGAGAUCCUCAUUUGGGAUAAAUGGUCAUAGCUCCCCUGGCAUUAAUGGAGCUAUGACAAUUUGCAGAAGCUGAGGCUGUGGCCUCCAAUAUGUUUUCAAAAUAUUCUUCUAGGGAAGGAAAACCUCCGAUGCUGUACAAGGUCUUCAUUUCUAGCCUCUGCCUCCAUCCCAGAUUAGACACAAUGAACUCCAUGCUUUGCUAUUUCUAUAAUACUCAGGAUUGUCUUUCUAGAAACAAAAUCUAACCCGUUCCACAAAUGCUUUUCGCAUAAGUUUGUUUGCCUAGAAUGCUGCCUCAUUCCUUGUUUAGGUUUAUAAGAAAGCAUUUUUGUUUAAAUAGGGAAUCAAAUGAAAAAGACUCACUACCCCAACCUGCCUUUCUGUGAGUACAAGUACCUAUGAGAUGUUUUCUCUCAUCAUACAUGGAUACAUUUUCAUGGGAGCGUCUUCUUAAAAUAUGGGCACCAUGUUAUUGGCCUGAAGUCUCUCUCCUCCUCAUCGCAGUAGGCUCGUAUACACAGAAAGACUAGUUUGGCUGAUAUCCUUGGAUUUCUGCUCAUUCUGCCUUGCCAUCUCCUGCACUGUAAUCCUGCUGUGAUAGCUGAUCUGCUCCUGCUGCACACUGGUAAUCACAAGGAGAAGAACCCAACACACCGUGUUCUAUUCUCUCCUUCUGCCUUGGCCUCCACGUGUCUUUUUCCCCCUUUUGUUUUUUUCCUCCCAGGCCAUUUUUAUUAGUGCAGUAACAGUAACACUUGGUAGGAUCAAAGUGUGAUUGCCUUCAGAUUCCUCUAUUGCUGAAGUUUAUGAGCUAAGUGUUAACUGCGUGCUUCAAGUGAAAUAAACUGCAUGUUUUUAGUCUGCCACUUUAUAAGCACGCUGGGCUAGCAUCUGUUUUCAGUCUGACUGGAAGCCUGCAACAGCUGUUUCAUGUUAUGUUUCACUUGCAUUAGAAUUAGUUAGUUUUUCCAGACUCCCAGACUGCUUCCCCAAUAUUAUUUCUUGUCAACAUUCUUAAUUAACAACAAUACUGACACUAAUCUUGGAAUAACAGUGGAAGCGGAAAGGGUCAGAUUGAGAAGUGACACAUAAACACACCUGAGACUGGCACGUUGGACAGCACUUGGCAUUCUAGAACUAUAUUAUAACUUUAAACCCCAUGGAUUCGGCAUUUAUGAUCCAGUCCUGCAAACACUCAUGCAUUAGGUGAUGUAUCUGUAAAUUGAGUGUGAACUCCAGGCAGCUCAAUGCCAUUGUGCUCUCUGAUGCAUCCUCUAUACUUUAGAGGAAUUAUUAUAAUAUACGUUUUGCAGGCACAUAGCACAAUAUUAUUAUAUAUGUUAUGGGAGAGCCUGAAUAUGUAAAUGAAACAGAUUCUGGUUUCCAGAACAGGGUUUGAACAAUUGCUGUGGUGGGCACUAAUGCCUGUCUCUGCAGUUUCAGAAUGACUAGUGUCUAAAGUUUAAACUGUUGCUUUCUUAGCUACCUUGAGAAUAAAAGGUGUUUGGGAGGGGCUGUACACACCACACAAGGCCUGAAGGGGUCAAGGUAGCUAGGUAGGCCAAGUAACUGUCCAGACUGCACCUGGAGGAGGAGCCAGGGAGCAGGGAUUAAUUUGUUGAGACUCAGCUGGAUGGGAACAGGAAGGGCCUGUAUAAAGCCCAGGAGCUGGGGAUGUGGGAUGCUGUAGGGAAGGAAUCCGUUACCACUUCCUGGGAGAAGGGAGCUGUGUUUAGGACUAUAGAGAGUAGUCCAAAGUUACUCCCUGGGAGGACUGCAUUUGGGCUGGCAAACCCAAUAAAGAGAGAGAGUCGGAAAGGUGGGAAAGGCUUUGGGGAAAAGAUGCAUGGAUAGGAUAGGGAAGACCUUUGCUGCUGAUGAGACGGAUCCUGAGUUGGAACCUGGAGAGGAGAGCAGGGCUGGGUUCUCCUACCAGCCACUGGGGAAGUGGCACAGACCAGGCAGUGGAGAGUGGAUUGCAUGGGACAAUUUGGGCUGGAUGGAAGACUUUUUGAUAUUCCAGAACAGGGGAAGCACACAUAGUGACCUAGCCAGAGGGCCAGGUCAUGAAGAAGGAGUACCUGGACGUGGAAAGAAGAUGGGUGGAGAGACCACCAGAAGAGGACGCAACACCUGGAAGGAGCUAAUCCCUAGAGCUGCUAGGAGGAGGCACCCUAGUGGUGCUGCUGAACUGGAUAUUUUCUGAGGAUCAGGAUGCAGCUGCACCUCGCUUGCCCAACAAAGGAAGGAAAAGCAAUGGAGUGCCUGUGAGGCUUCUGCUUUAGGCCUCAGCUUCUCCAUCCAGAUAUCACUUGAACAACAGACAGAACCCAGGAACAAUGCAACUGUGCAGAAGAAAAGGAAGAGAGGAGAAGAAAAGGCUGCAAAAGAGUGGAUGUGGUGAGUUUAAAGAAAAAAGAUGGCACACAUGGAGGGUUUGGAAAAUCAGAAGAUGAGUCUGAAAACAUACUCACAUAUAUAUUUUGGGGAGAAACAUCAAUAUGGUAUUAUACUGAGUACACUUUAUUUGCACCAAUAAAAUCCAUGCUCUUUGCCUUAACCACUUUCACAAGUGAUGUAAAUAGAAUUGUGUGUGUAUUAAAUGUAACAUGCUCAUAUUUUUAUGCACAAACCUCAAUACUAUAUACUAAUCUACAGGCAGACAUUUAUUUCACAGUUAUUCUUUCAUCCCUUUCAGAAAGCAAUCACUCACCUCGUAUUCCUUUCACUUAACUAUAGGCAUCAGCGUGUCUCUCUAUAUAAAGAAUGACAAUCACAGGAGCUUUCUCCG
Long non-coding RNA from Dermochelys coriacea (leatherback sea turtle), 4005 nucleotides. RefSeq lists it as uncharacterized. Lineage: Eukaryota; Metazoa; Chordata; Testudines; Dermochelyidae. The transcript has 3 exons. The record is from RefSeq and is a predicted model, not a curated record.